This 29-nucleotide non-coding RNA is filed under the name Rattus norvegicus (Norway rat). The record is from RNAcentral. Lineage: Eukaryota; Metazoa; Chordata; Mammalia; Rodentia; Muridae.
UCCAGCAUGGUAGUUUGCACGGUGCUAGA